UACGGAGGGUGCAAGCGUUAUCCGGAUUCACUGGGUUUAAAGGGUGCGUAGGCGGGCAGGUAAGUCAGUGGUGAAAUCUCCGGGCUUAACCCGGAAACUGCCGUUGAUACUAUCUGUCUUGAAUGCCGUGGAGGUAAGCGGAAUAUGUCAUGUAGCGGUGAAAUGCGCAGAUAUCAGGAAGAACACCCGUGGCGAAGGCGGCUCUCUGGGACGGUACUGACGCUGAGACGCGAAAGCGUGGGGAGCGAACAGG
RNAcentral lists this ribosomal RNA (253 nucleotides) under uncultured bacterium. RNAcentral describes it as "partial 16S ribosomal RNA". It matches the Rfam family "Bacterial small subunit ribosomal RNA", at positions 524 to 776 of the family's 1533-position model. The record is from RNAcentral.